AGCGAACGCUGGCGGCAAGCUUAACACAUGCAAGUCGAGCGCUGUAGCAAUACAGAGCGGCGGACGGGUGCGUAACACGUGGGAAUCUGCCUUUAGGUUUGGAAUAACUCAGGGAAACUUGAGCUAAUACCGUAUAAUGUCUUCGGACCAAAGAUUUAUCGCCUAAAGAUGAGCCCGCGGUAGAUUAGCUAGUUGGUGAGGUAAUGGCUCACCAAGGCUACGAUCUAUAGCUGGUCUAAGAGGAUGAUAAGCCACACUGGGACUGAGACACGGCCCAGACUCCUACGGGAGGCAGCAGUGGGGAAUAUUGGGCAAUGGGCGAAAGCCUGACCCAGCUAUGCCGCGUGAAUGAUGAAGGCCUUAGGGUUGUAAAGUUCUUUUACCAGGGACGAUGAUGACGGUACCUGGAGAAAAAGCCCCGGCAAACUUCGUGCCAGCAGCCGCCGUAA
RNAcentral lists this ribosomal RNA (449 nucleotides) under uncultured bacterium. RNAcentral describes it as "partial 16S ribosomal RNA". It matches the Rfam family "Bacterial small subunit ribosomal RNA", at positions 29 to 523 of the family's 1533-position model. The record is from RNAcentral.